UGCGAUGAAAGCAGCUGCCCUUAAAUCCAAAGCCCUUCUCAUGCGUGCACAGGCAGCGGAAAUUCUCUGUACACAAUGGAAGAAAAGAUGCAGAGGUCACUUUUUGCUGAUUUUUUUCUUUGAUCGACUACUGUAGUAUUCAGGCCAAUUCUUUAUGCAAGCAAAUGUAACUCUGUGCAGCUCUGUGUAUCAUUUUGACAAAUAUACGGUGUUGAAAGCCCUACAGAACACACACCUGCUGUCAUGGGAACAAUGUCGGCCCGAAGAAGGAAUCGUAGUCUCCCCGCUGCCUUGUUUCCAAUCUUGAUGUCCAUGUAGACCUGAGGAUUAACUCUACCCUUUUUAGCCGGGGGCUCAGCCUGACAAGAAACAAAUCAGACAAAUGUAACUAUCUUGACAAAGAGUCAGAGUCACCAACUUAUUUUAAGAGAGAAAGUCGCCUCACUUCAUCUGUUGCCGUGUUGGUUGUUUCUCCAGCUGCUGCCUCCCCAUCAGCUUCCUCUGCGGUCUUCCCCGAGAACUUCUUCAGCCAGUCAUCAUCCGACCACACUGGCAGAAAAGCAGAUUUAAAUUAGGAACAAAAUAUUUAAUGCACUUGAACCUAAGAACUCUAUACACUUGUUUGUUUUUUUUAAAUCACCUGGUCGAGAAGAUCCUUCUUUGAUUCUCAUGGGCUUGGCAGUGUUCACUCGGAUGGUCCUUCCGAAAAGCUCAGACUCAUUCUAGCAGAAAGAGCAAGAUCAUCAACAUUGAAACAGAAAGCUAGUUCGUUUUACCUUUUGGGUACACUCACAACGGCUAUGUCUCAGAAACAGAACUGAAUCCUCACUGACAUGAUUGUGCAACACAGUGAUGCACUUACCAUGUUAUCAAUAGCUGCUGCAGCAUCCUACAGAAGAAAAGGCCAUCAAUGUUUCAUGAGCAUAGAUGUACCAUUGAAAUCCUUAUUAUGUGUUAACAUCCAUGUUUACACUGAAUUCAACAGUCAGGCAAACAUACACAAUGUCCUAAAUCAGACAGAAGUGCAAAUCAUAAUAAUAUAUUUAGUCCAUUCAUAUUUAUAUGCAUUACCGAAGCCAUAUUAAAAACUGGGAGCGGCAUUUUUCAAGGAUGUCCAUAACAGUACAUUACAAUCCUAAGCAUAGAUUACUAUGUGUUGCAAACUUUUUUUUAAACUCAGAUAAUGUUAAGGUUUGUACAUGCUCAACUAUUUCACAAUAUCUCAACUUCACACUGAUUUUGGCUAAUCUGAAUACAUAUAGGCCUAUGUAUUGUCUUGAUCAUGCACAUAUCAGAAUAUUAUUACUUUUAGUGUAUAGAGAAGUAACAGUACAUACCUCUCCCAGUUCAAACUCAAUGAACGCGAAUCCUCUGUGCUUUUCUGAAAACAGAUCAUCGGACACAUUAUUACACUUUAUCUUGCUCACAGUGAUAAUGUGUUGCAGGUACAGAGCAGUUACUAGUCUUACCUGUUUCAUAGUCUAAUGGUAUCUGGAUGUCUGUAAUGUCUCCAAACGGAAUAAAAGCAGCAUGUAACACCUUCUCAUCCACCUCCUCUGCUAGGCCACCUGACAGAAACACACCAAAAUGAUACUGAGAUGAUGAUACUGCAGAUUAGCAUCUUAUUGGAAGAGCAUAUGGGACAGAUUACCGUGCUGCGUCCAAGAAACAUAUGUCUAUAGGAGUCCCGAGUUGCCGAAGCUAAAGCUUUUAUUUAUAUUUUAUUUAAUUCAUUCAAAAUUCUUCAACAACUUUCUCAUGGCGUCUGUACGAAGUAAAAAUCAGCGAAGUUGCCAUGUUUUCUGGUGACGUUUUCAACUUUUACCGACUAAAACCUUCCGUUACGGAGGUUUUCUAGCACUAUAUACAUUUAGUUGUGUUUAUUUCAAAUUUGCAUACAGAAAUGCUCUUAAUAUGUUUGCUAGAUUAAGUAAAAGGAGGUAGUUUAAACAGUUUUUAAGAAAAUAAACAUUAACUUACCAACAUACAACACUCGUUUGUUAGCCGCCAUAUUGGAUGUAACCCCUCAACUUUGACCCCGCAGCUUGUGAUUGGUUCAGUGAGACUAAAGCCCGCCUCCCAAUGACCACGUUUUCUGAGGCGCCAUCUGUUGGAGGAAACGGGCACGACUACAUAUUCACUUUUUUAUACCAGGUUACAUUAUAUUAAAAGUUUUAUAUUCAGCAGACUAUCACCACAAUCCUUCUAUAUCUGGGAAGGUCCAAACUAUAGAAGAAAACUAAAUGCUGUAUAUUUGGAUAUAAAGAAGGGAAGUGAGAUGGGUAAGAUCUACAUUUUUUCAACUGUUGGGUAACGAGCUUGUGAAAAAUAGAUAUUUUUUAUUUAGUUUGACUAAGAUAUAAAAAGGUAUUAAACUUUUAAGCAAAAAUAUGUUUUAUAACUCACCCAUUGUCAGUACUUGAUGCACAUGCUUCUGUCGUCAGGAUCAUUCUUUCGAAGAAUGAGAAGUGUCAUUUAAUAAAUGCAUGUUUCAUAAAUCCUAUGCAAGCUAAUGGACGGUGACUUAAAAAUGACAUGAUGAAAGUGACAGAAGUGGUAGGUAUCUAAGUACAUUUACUCAGGUACUGUACUUAACUGUACUUACACUUUUGAGAUAUUUGUACUUUACUUGAGUAUUUCCAUGUUAUGCUACUUUUUACUUCUACUCCACUACAAUCAGCCCCGGCCCUGACCAUUGUGCUGAUAGGCAUGUUUUUAGCUUGGUACUGUAAGUAUAUUUUGAUGCCAAUACUUUUGUACUUUUACAUGAUUAACAUUUUGAAUCCAGGACUAUUCCUACACUCUGGUACUUCUACCUUUACUCAAGUACAACAUCUUCUCACACCUCUGCUCAAAGGGACAUUUAGCAACCAGGAAAAAGGUCAAAAUGAGAAAAUACAUCGCCUCUAAGAGCCAUGGCCCCCAGCAUUCCCUGCACGAUGAACUGCCGGAUUGGUUCGUGUUCUAAAAACAACAGCUUCAAAUUCAGAUCAAAGAGAUUUCAUUUAUUGUUAAUGUAACUUACCUUGUCUCUUCAUUAUUUUUUCUUUAGUAAAAAAGUGUUGAAAAAGAAAAGUGUCUUCAACAACUGGCUUGUAGAGGAAGAAAUGUUGACUGAGACUGUCACUAAUGACUUUAACUACCUCCUCUUUCCUGCAAAACCAAACCCAAAGUCUGAUGCUAAAACAGCAGAGGUCAAAGAGACCCUGCAGUCCAUGCAGAAGGACAGACUGUCAGUUGGACACUGGGUUUGAGUGUACCAUCAGAACCACCAGAAGAAACAUGAGAAGCACCGACUGGAAGCAGAGGCUCAACACGCAGCUUACAUCGCCUCCAGGAGCCAUGGCCCCCAGCAUUCCCUGCUGAAUGAACUGUUAAACUGGUCCGUCUGCUAAAAUCAGCAGCUUCAAAUCAAGAUCUUACAGAUUUCAUUUUAUUGUUAUUGUUUUUAACCUUGUUUCUUUGUUUUCUUUAUUGUUUUUUCUCAAAGUGUUCAUUUUAAAACCUCAAAUUGUUCUGUCUACUCUCUUACAUUAAUGUUUGUUAAGAUGUGUGGAAAUAUACUGAGGUGCGGUGGUGGUAAGUAAAUAAAUUUACUCAAGUGCUGUUCUUAAGUAACAUUUUGAGGGGUAUUUAUGCUAAUUACUGUACUACUCAAUUCAGAGGUAAAUAUUGUACUUUUACUCUACAACAUUUAUGUAGUACCUUUAGUUACUUUGCAGAUAUAGCUAAAUUAUAAACGAUCAACACUUAAAAUAACACAAGAUACACCUGGAUUGAGUUCACAUUCUAUCCAGCAGUAAAUAAAGUAAUUACAAUUAGUUCUAGUUUUACCAGCUCUGAUAAACACAGCAAUACAUCAACAAUUAUAACCAAAACAAUAUAUUUCUGAAAUGGGGAAAUCUGCAUAAUGAGUACUUUUGGUACUUUAAGUUAAUUUAAAUGCCAAUAACUUUGCACUUUAACUUGAAUAACAUUUUAACUGCAGGACUUUUCUUGAAAUACAGUAUUCCUACACUCUGGUACUUCUACGUUUACUGAAGUAAAAUAUCUGAGUACUUCUUCCACCUCUGAUGGUAACACCUUUUUACUUGCAUUGAAUGAGUAAUUAUUUUUGCUGAAACGUUAUGGCAGAGAAGUCAUGACAAUGAUCUUGAAUGUUGGUUCUAUGCAAAAAUAGUGUUCAUUUCUCUAAUUAGUUUCAGGCAAAACCUUUCCCUGACAUUUUCAAGGGUCCAAUGUAGCUUAAAUCAAUCAUCUAUCCGAAUGAACACCCAGACAAAACAUAUGAUACCAAUACCAUAUGAUAGCAUUAUAUUGUUCGCUCUACUCCUCCAAUGCUUUUACUAUUCUGUUGUGUAUAAUUUGGCCUUCGCUGUGUACUACUGACAGGUAAGCUUGUGGCAGAUACACACUUGAAACUGAAUAAAUAAAGCUUCAUGUAGACAUUAAAGUCACACAACAGUAGAAAUCUUGAUAAUUCAUCCUUUUAUUGAGAAUACCACGCACCCAUGAUAACAUGAUAGGAUGGGGGAGUUCAUCAGUUCAAAUCAAACAUAAAACUUUCAAGCAAAGAAAAAGAACAAGGCUCGUUUCCCUUUUUUAGAAAAAAAGGUUUCUUUCCUUCGCCACAAGGUGAAGAACCUUCAUUCAAGAUUUGUUUGCAUAUCUGCUUUUGGUUUUAAAGUUUUGCAGAACUAGAAAACUAUGAACUGUUAUAUUUUUCAAAAUGUUCAAGUAUUUUUUGUAAUUAAAUUUUACUAUUUUUUCCUUCA
This is a long non-coding RNA of Eleginops maclovinus (Patagonian blennie), 4775 nucleotides long. RefSeq lists it as uncharacterized. NCBI's taxonomy places the organism in Eukaryota, Metazoa, Chordata, Actinopteri, Perciformes, Eleginopidae. The transcript is spliced from 2 exons. The record is from RefSeq and is a predicted model, not a curated record.